UACCAGCACCCCGAGUGGUCGGGACGAUUAUUGGGCCUAAAGCAUCCGUAGCCGGUUCUACAAGUCUUCCGUUAAAUCCACCUGCUUAACAGAUGGGCUGCGGAGGAUACUAUAGAGCUAGGAGGCGGGAGAGGCAAGCGGUACUCAGUGGGUAGGGGUAAAAUCCGUUGAUCCAUUGAAGACCACCAGUGGCGAAGGCGGCUUGCCAGAACGCACUCGACGGUGAGGGAUGAAAGCUGGGGGAGCAAACCGG
This 253-nucleotide ribosomal RNA is filed under the name uncultured bacterium. Its description in RNAcentral is "partial 16S ribosomal RNA". It matches the Rfam family "Archaeal small subunit ribosomal RNA", at positions 474 to 727 of the family's 1478-position model. The record is from RNAcentral.